Polypterus senegalus (gray bichir) is the source of this 189-nucleotide long non-coding RNA. RefSeq lists it as uncharacterized. The transcript has 3 exons. The record is from RefSeq and is a predicted model, not a curated record. Lineage: Eukaryota; Metazoa; Chordata; Cladistia; Polypteriformes; Polypteridae.
CAAAGUUAGCGCGGAUCGAUCGAUAAAACAGGAGAAUGUCGGCAUAUGCGAACUUAUGAUGCUUUGUGGACCAGUAUGACAUCACAACGCUGUAGCAGCCAACACUGGAGGGAGAUAUUGCUACCUGAUCUACAUCACACAGAUGCAGAUCUAUCAUGGUUUCUUGCAGACCAUUCCCGGGAUAUCACA